RNAcentral lists this ribosomal RNA (408 nucleotides) under uncultured bacterium. RNAcentral describes it as "partial 16S ribosomal RNA". It matches the Rfam family "Bacterial small subunit ribosomal RNA", at positions 29 to 526 of the family's 1533-position model. The record is from RNAcentral.
AGUGAACGCUGGCGGCGUGCCUAAUACAUGCAAGUCGAACGGAGUGGCGCACGGGUGAGUAAUGUAUAGCUAAUCUGCCCUACACUAGAGGACAACAGUUGGAAACAGCUGCUAAUACUCCAUAGUGUAGGAUGAGGCUAUAUUGUAUCAGCUAGUUAGUGAGGUAAUGGCUCACCAAGGCUAUGACGCAUAACUGGUCUGAGAGGAUGAUCAGUCACACUGGAAGGGAGACACGGUUCAGACAUCUACGGGAGGCAGCAGUAGGGAAGAGUGGUCAAUGGGGGAGACCGUGAAGCAGCAACGGGGCGUGGAGGAUGACACUUUUCGGAGCGUAAACUCCUGUUGUUAGGGAAGCGGUACCUAACGAAUAAGCACCGGCUAACUCCGUGCCAGCCGCCGCGGUAAUAC